RNAcentral lists this ribosomal RNA (120 nucleotides) under Fusarium sp. RNAcentral's name for it is "partial 18S ribosomal RNA". Lineage: Eukaryota; Fungi; Ascomycota; Sordariomycetes; Hypocreales; Nectriaceae. The record is from RNAcentral.
GCCCCUAAGCCACACCUCCCAUAGCGGGUUCGGUGCGGCGGACGGACGCCCUGGGGAAUUUAGAGGGGGAAAGCGGAUUGCCCUAGCGGUGUUGUUGGCCCUGCCGACCUCACUGCGAAA